UUAUUUUCAUAAACACAGAUAAUGCUCAUGUAAAAGUCAAGAACGGAAUUAUUUUAGCCAUAGUUCUACCAGGAACGCUCAUCAUCUACAUUAUCAAUGCCGUAUACUUUUGGUGGAGAUUGAAGUCUCGUAAGCAUGCAGAAAAGAAUGACAUCCAGCAAAAAGUAAAGAUUUCGGGGGAUGAUAUUGAACUUGAAGAGUUGCCUCUUUAUGAUUUUGAAAUGCCGGAAAUUGCAGCAACUUUGAUCUAAGUAACAAGCUUGGGUAGAGCGGCUUUGAUUUGGUAUAUAAGGGAAAAUUAAUAAAUGAAGAGGAAAUAGCAAUAAAGAGACUUUCGAAAGUCUCUCAUCAAGGGUACAAAGAAUUUAUAAUUGAAGUAAAGGUGAUUUCAAGGUGCCCAAGACUCCAUGCUCUUUUAUUCAUUAUGGGUUGAUGUAAAUUAUUUGUAAUCAUAUUGGCGUUGGGUCAGAAUUAAUAGAUCAAGUAAAUAGAAUAUGAAUGAAAUCUAUUAUUGUA
Molecule: non-coding RNA, 516 nt
Organism: Momordica charantia (bitter melon)
Lineage: Eukaryota; Viridiplantae; Streptophyta; Magnoliopsida; Cucurbitales; Cucurbitaceae
Source: RefSeq, a predicted model, not a curated record